CGAUGAAGCCCAGCUUGCUGGGUGGAUUAGUGGCGAACGGGUGAGUAACACGUGAGCAACCUGCCCCUGACUCUGGGAUAAGCGCUGGAAACGGCGUCUAAUACUGGAUACGAGACGUGAUCGCAUGGUCAACGUUUGGAAAGAUUUUUCGGUUGGGGAUGGGCUCGCGGCCUAUCAGCUUGUUGGUGAGGUAAUGGCUCACCAAGGCGUCGACGGGUAGCCGGCCUGAGAGGGUGACCGGCCACACUGGGACUGAGACACGGCCCAGACUCCUACGGGAGGCAGCAGUGGGGAAUAUUGCACAAUGGGCGCAAGCCUGAUGCAGCAACGCCGCGUGAGGGAUGACGGCCUUCGGGUUGUAAACCUCUUUUAGCAGGGAAGAAGCGAGAGUGACGGUACCUGCAGAAAAAGCACCGGCUAACUACGUGCCAGCAGCCGCGGUAAUACGUAGGGUGCAAGCGUUAUCCGGGAAUUAUUGGGCGUAAAGAGCUCGUAGGCGGUUUGUCGCGUCUGCUGUGAAAUCUGGGGGCUCAACCCCCAGCCUGCAGUGGGUACGGGCAGACUAGAGUGCGGUAGGGGAGAUUGGAAUUCCUGGUGUAGCGGUGGAAUGCGCAGAUAUCAGGAGGAACACCGAUGGCGAAGGCAGAUCUCUGGGCCGUAACUGACGCUGAGGAGCGAAAGGGUGGGGAGCAAACAGGCUUAGAUACCCUGGUAGUCCACCCCGUAAACGUUGGGAACUAGUUGUGGGGUCCAUUCCACGGAUUCCGUGACGCAGCUAACGCAUUAAGUUCCCCGCCUGGGGAGUACGGCCGCAAGGCUAAAACUCAAAGGAAUUGACGGGGACCCGCACAAGCGGCGGAGCAUGCGGAUUAAUUCGAUGCAACGCGAAGAACCUUACCAAGGCUUGACAUAUACGAGAACGGGCCAGAAAUGGUCAACUCUUUGGACACUCGUAAACAGGUGGUGCAUGGUUGUCGUCAGCUCGUGUCGUGAGAUGUUGGGUUAAGUCCCGCAACGAGCGCAACCCUCGUUCUAUGUUGCCAGCACGUAAUGGUGGGAACUCAUGGGAUACUGCCGGGGUCAACUCGGAGGAAGGUGGGGAUGACGUCAAAUCAUCAUGCCCCUUAUGUCUUGGGCUUCACGCAUGCUACAAUGGCCGGUACAAUGGGCUGCAAUACCGUGAGGUGGAGCGAAUCCCAAAAAGCCGGUCCCAGUUCGGAUUGAGGUCUGCAACUCGACCUCAUGAAGUCGGAGUCGCUAGUAAUCGCAGAUCAGCAACGCUGCGGUGAAUACGUUCCCGGGUCUUGUACACACCGCCCGUCAAGUCAUGAAAGUCGGUAACACCUGAAGCCGGUGGCCUAACCCCUUGUGGGAGGGAGC
Molecule: ribosomal RNA, 1380 nt
Filed under: Microbacterium sp.
Lineage: Bacteria; Bacillati; Actinomycetota; Actinomycetes; Micrococcales; Microbacteriaceae
Description: bacterial SSU rRNA
Rfam family: Bacterial small subunit ribosomal RNA
Source: RNAcentral